Molecule: ribosomal RNA, 564 nt
Filed under: uncultured Glomeromycotina
Lineage: Eukaryota; Fungi; Glomeromycota
Description: SSU rRNA
Rfam family: Eukaryotic small subunit ribosomal RNA
Source: RNAcentral
UUGGAGGGCAAGUCUGGUGCCAGCAGCCGCGGUAAUUCCAGCUCCAAUAGCGUAUAUUAAAGUUGUUGCAGUUAAAAAGCUCGUAGUUGAAUUUCGGGAUCAGACUGUCGGUCGUGCCUCGGUACGCACUGGCAUUAUUGGUUCCUACCUUCUGAAGAACCGCGAUGUCAUUAAUUUGGUGUCGUGGGGAAUCAGGACUGUUACUUUGAAAAAAUUAGAGUGUUUAAAGCAGGCGCACGCUUGAAUACAUUAGCAUGGAAUAAUGAAAUAGGACGUUUGAUUCUAUUUUGUUGGUUUCUAGGAUCGACGUAAUGAUUAAUAGGGAUAGUUGGGGGCAUUAGUAUUCAAUUGUCAGAGGUGAGAUUCUUGGAUUUAUUGAAGACUAACUACUGCGAAAGCAUUUGCCAAGGAUGUUUUCAUUAAUCAAGAACGAAAGUUAGGGGAUCGAAGACGAUCAGAUACCGUCGUAGUCUUAACCAUAAACUAUGCCGACUAGGGAUCGGAUGAUGUUAAUUUUAUAAUGACUCAUUCGGCGCCUCACGGGAAACCAAAGUGUUUGGGUUC